GCAUUGCUGAAGAGUCCCAUACUAGGACGAAACGGCCGUUCAAUGC
Molecule: non-coding RNA, 46 nt
Filed under: Schistosoma mattheei
Lineage: Eukaryota; Metazoa; Platyhelminthes; Trematoda; Strigeidida; Schistosomatidae
Source: RNAcentral